Molecule: ribosomal RNA, 397 nt
Filed under: uncultured bacterium
Lineage: Bacteria
Description: bacterial SSU rRNA
Rfam family: Bacterial small subunit ribosomal RNA
Source: RNAcentral
AUUAAACGCUGGCGGCAUGCCUUACACAUGCAAGUCGAACGGCAGCACGGGGGCAACCCUGGUGGCGAGUGGCGGACGGGUGAGUAAAGCAUCGGAACGUAUCCUGGAGUGGGGGAUAACGUAGCGAAAGUUACGCUAAUACCGCAUAUUCUGUGAGCAGGAAAGCAGGGGAUCGCAAGACCUUGCGCUCUGGGAGCGGCCGAUGUCGGAUUAGCUAGUUGGUGGGGUAAAAGCCUACCAAGGCGACGAUCCGUAGCGGGUCUGAGAGGAUGAUCCGCCACACUGGGACUGAGACACGGCCCAGACUCCUACGGGAGGCAGCAGUGGGGAAUUUUGGACAAUGGGCGCAAGCCUGAUCCAGCCAUGCCGCGUGAGUGAAGAAGGCCUCGGUUGUAAG